Molecule: long non-coding RNA, 523 nt
Organism: Asparagus officinalis (garden asparagus)
Lineage: Eukaryota; Viridiplantae; Streptophyta; Magnoliopsida; Asparagales; Asparagaceae
Exons: 3
Source: RefSeq, a predicted model, not a curated record
AGAGUUUAUUGUACAUCUUUAAGGGACGCUUUUAAGUGUAGCAGUUAUUCUACUAUAGAUUGCCAUUGUAUUUGCUCGUAAAUAUUUAGAGUAGGUCUAAGUUUCUCACUUCCUUGAUUCGGAAAAGAUACUGUGGUCUAGACGAUAUACCAUUUUUGAAGUGAAUUUGAAGCAUAAGAAUCUCUAGUAGGGCUUGGUCUAAAUAAAGCUGAUUUUCUAAUUUUAUUAUCCUUUUGGAACUCCAGGAUGGGACUGUUAUACGUGGUCAGAAUGAAAUAUCACAUCCUACUGAUGGACAUUUGACAGUGAUAAGCAAGGGAAAUGAGACCAGCUACCUGGAGAGUACCAGCUGCAUGCUGACCCUGAAGGUGAAUCGCUUUCACCCUGACCAUAAAGAAAAGCUAUGGAUCAAAAAGAGCAACCUAACCAUUCAAAUAAAGCAGUACAAGUACUCAAUUGCUGAAGAUGAUGAGUCUUCCAAGUCAUAUGUAAUGCAGCAAAUUUGGUUUCUGUUGUUCUGUGU